This 341-nucleotide ribosomal RNA is filed under the name Porphyromonas gingivalis. RNAcentral's name for it is "bacterial SSU rRNA". It matches the Rfam family "Bacterial small subunit ribosomal RNA", at positions 750 to 1097 of the family's 1533-position model. Lineage: Bacteria; Pseudomonadati; Bacteroidota; Bacteroidia; Bacteroidales; Porphyromonadaceae. The record is from RNAcentral.
AAAGGAAAAGCGUGGGUAUCAAACAGGAUUAGAUACCCUGGUAGUCCACGCAGUAAACGAUGAUUACUAGGAGUUUGCGAUAUACCGUCAAGCUUCCACAGCGAAAGCGUUAAGUAAUCCACCUGGGGAGUACGCCGGCAACGGUGAAACUCAAAGGAAUUGACGGGGGCCCGCACAACCGGAGGAACAUGUGGUUUAAUUCGAUGAUACGCGAGGAACCUUACCCGGGAUUGAAAUGUAGAUGACGGAUGGUGAAAACCGUCUUCCCUUCGGGGCUUCUAUGUAGGUGCUGCAUGGUAGUCGUCUAGACUCGUGCAUCUGGUAGUGUGCCUAUAUCACAG